UUGCAGAGGAGAAGAGGGAGAAAGAAUCUUCUCUGUUCAACAGGGAUGUAAGUGAUGAGCCGUUAACUACCACAGAUAAAGGAGCACUCCAAGAAGCAAGCAGUCCAAGUGUUCCGAGUAGGACUAUGCCAUGUGCACAGCUUCUGCAGUUCCUUCAGAGGAACAUCAUUAGUGCUUCUGCCUCGGUGGCGGGAAUCCUCGUGGCCACAGUGUCGCUGCUGCUGGUGUUGAUCACAUACAUCCGGAGGAAACAGCUAUUAUAUCCUCCAGAAAACAUGACCUAUAAUAUUUUUAUAAUGAAUGGAAAGACUUGGUGGCAAAAAUCUCAAGAAAAGAAGACCAGAAAACACACGGGGAAACAGAAACAGCUGAAGUUAAAUUCCAGUGUCUAAGCCAGGUGGGCGGCCAGCCAACUGGCACUUAAAGCUGUGAGGUGAGACGAUCUCCAUCCUGACAUCGUGGAGAGGCCAUUGGCUUCCUGGCUGCAUGUGAGGUGCACCCUCCAAAACGUUUACCUCUUCCUCUCAAUUUUGAACGGACCAAGAAAACAAUGUUUGCUCACACGAUGCUCGCAGUGGGCAAUGGCACUGAUGACGGUGCAGGAGACUGAGCACAUUUCCCCAGAGAGGAACCUGCCAGACCAUGGAUUUAUUUAUUUAGUAAAACAUUGAUUUGUUUUUUUUCAGCCCUUCAUUGAAU
Phacochoerus africanus (Common warthog) is the source of this 699-nucleotide long non-coding RNA. RefSeq lists it as uncharacterized. Lineage: Eukaryota; Metazoa; Chordata; Mammalia; Artiodactyla; Suidae. The transcript has 3 exons. The record is from RefSeq and is a predicted model, not a curated record.